This 72-nucleotide transfer RNA is filed under the name Heterocephalus glaber (naked mole-rat). It matches the Rfam family "tRNA". From Rfam's summary of the family: Transfer RNA (tRNA) molecules are approximately 80 nucleotides in length. The record is from Rfam by way of RNAcentral. Lineage: Eukaryota; Metazoa; Chordata; Mammalia; Rodentia; Bathyergidae.
AGGGGUGUAGCUCAGUAGCAGAGCAUGUGCCUGAUAUGCACAGGGCCCUGGGUUUGACCCCCAACACCACCA